AAUCACAGUUCCGACCUUUUCUUCUUGUUUUAUGUUCGAAGUUGAAGAAGCUCUGAACUCAAGUCCUAAUUGCGACCUGUUAUUUUAAGUUUUACCCUUUUUCUUUUUCUUUUUUUUUAAAUAGCGACGCUACAGUCGCUACUCGCUACAGUGGCGCCUCACGCAACACACCCUGAAGCGACCGCUAUUUGAAACGCAACGCAACAGUUGCCGUGUAGCGAUACUGCCUCGCCUCGCCUCGCCUCGCCUCGCCUCACGCUGUUAGCGCUGAGGCGAGCGCUAUUUACAACACUGGCGUACACACUACCCUCCCCAGACUUGCCUCGCCUCGCCUCACGCUAUUAGCGCUUAGGCGAGCGCUAUUUACAACACAGUUAAGCUAUACCAGUAGUAUAUGCUCCGCCUCAUGCCUUAAGGACUCUUCGUUAGUGAUAUGUUUUGGUUGUAUAAGGUCUAUGAGCAGUUCUAGAGAAUCUCUUUAGUUAGUAGUUAUCAAAGGGGAAAAGGUUAGGAUUUUGCCAAGCUUUAUAGGGAUUUUAAGCUGCAGAACACGAAAGCAUGAACAGUCAGGCAACAAUGAAGGAAAAAGUGAAAAAAAUAUGUAAUGGAAGAAAAUAUGACUUGAAAAUAUAUACACAAACAAGGGCAAAUGAAUUGAAAAUACUGAACUCAAGUGAGAUAUAUGAAUAAAAUCACGAAACCAUUUGAAAUUUCUAGUAGAGACGCAAAGGUGAGGCUUUAAGUUUCUGACAUAGGUUUAGUGACUAUGUUUCUAAUGUUAAAUUAUCUAAUUCAUGUU
This 799-nucleotide long non-coding RNA is filed under the name Nicotiana benthamiana. RNAcentral describes it as "long non-coding RNA (NBEN_LNC026363)". The record is from RNAcentral. Lineage: Eukaryota; Viridiplantae; Streptophyta; Magnoliopsida; Solanales; Solanaceae.